RNAcentral lists this ribosomal RNA (204 nucleotides) under uncultured bacterium. RNAcentral describes it as "partial 16S ribosomal RNA". It matches the Rfam family "Bacterial small subunit ribosomal RNA", at positions 15 to 221 of the family's 1533-position model. The record is from RNAcentral.
GAUCAUGGCUCAGAUUGAACGCUGGCGGCAUGCUUUACACAUGCAAGUCGGACGGCAGCACAGAGAAGCUUGCUUCUUGGGUGGCGAGUGGCGAACGGGUGAGUAAUAUAUCGGAACGUACCGAGUAAUGGGGGAUAACUAAUCGAAAGAUUAGCUAAUACCGCAUAUUCUCUGAGGAGGAAAGCAGGGACCUCGCGUCGUCGU